AUGAUGAUUACAGCACAAAGGGAGAAUGCUCCCGCAGAAAACUGGCAGAGUUGCUGCUUGGUGGAGUGGCGAUCAGGCUUUGCCCCCGUUGGUCUUGGGACAGGACUUGGAGCAGACACUGAGUGCACUGAGACACUCGGUGCAGGCCCUGAGUUUGGAUCCCCAGCACCCAGCACAGCCAGGGUAGUGCCGGACUGUAAUCCCAGCGCAUCUACAGCGAGGUGGGAGACAGAGGACAGGAAAAUCCCUGGAAGCUCCCUGUCAGGCAAGCCUGGAACAAAAGAGAUCCUGCCUCAAACAAGAAAAAACACAAGUCAAGAUGUGAGGGGCUAGCUCUCAAUAAGCUGUGUGAGCGAAGUGCUCUUCAUGACACGUGCUCUUCUUGCCUGAAGAAGACACCACCAACAGGUAUGUGAACUAGGGGAAGGGAGAUG
Molecule: long non-coding RNA, 434 nt
Organism: Mus musculus (house mouse)
Lineage: Eukaryota; Metazoa; Chordata; Mammalia; Rodentia; Muridae
Product: predicted gene, 39282
Exons: 3
Source: RefSeq, a predicted model, not a curated record